UCGCAAGGUUGACCUCGSAUCAGGCAGGGAUACCC
RNAcentral lists this ribosomal RNA (35 nucleotides) under uncultured fungus. Its description in RNAcentral is "partial 28S ribosomal RNA". Lineage: Eukaryota; Fungi. The record is from RNAcentral.